This 611-nucleotide ribosomal RNA is filed under the name uncultured fungus. RNAcentral describes it as "eukaryotic LSU rRNA". It matches the Rfam family "Eukaryotic large subunit ribosomal RNA", at positions 1 to 614 of the family's 3401-position model. Lineage: Eukaryota; Fungi. The record is from RNAcentral.
UUGACCUCAGAUCAGGUAGGACUACCGCCUGAACUUAAGCAUAUCAAUAAGGCGAGGAACAGAAACCAACAGGGAUUCCCCUAGUAGUGGCGAAUGAAGCGGGAAAAGCUCAAGUUUGAAAUCCGGUGGGGUCAUCCCCUCCAGAGUUGUAAGCUGAAGAGGCGUCGACCGACGUUGUCCGGGCCCAAUUUCCUUGGAACAGGAGGUCAUGGAGGGUGAGAACCCCGUCUGUGGCUCAGAGCCAACGUCCUUGUGUCGUGUCCUCGAAGAGUCGGGUUGUUUGGGAAUGCAGCUCAAAAUGGGUGGUAAAUUCCAUCUAAGGCUAAAUAUUGGCGAGAGACCGAUAGGAAACAAGUAGAGUGAUCGAAAGAUGAAAAGUACUUUGAAAAGAGAGUGAAACAGUACGUGAAAUUGUUGAAAGGGAAGCGUUUGGCAUCAGCCCAUGGUGUCCGUCGAUCACUCGAGCUUCUGUUCGAUGCACUUGACGGACGUCGGGCCAGCGUCGGCUUUGCCUGCCGGAGAAAGGUCUCGGGAACGUGGCACCCCUCGGGGUGUGUUAUAGCCCUUGGCGUCAUACGGUGUGGCGGGGCCGAGGUCCGCGGUUUAUACCU